GACGAACGCUGGCGGCGUGCCUAAUACAUGCAAGUAGAACGCUGAAGGAGGAGCUUGCUCUUCUGGAUGAGUUGCGAACGGGUGAGUAACGCGUAGGUAACCUGCCUGGUAGCGGGGGAUAACUAUUGGAAACGAUAGCUAAUACCGCAUAAGAGUAGAUGUUGCAUGACAUUUACUUAAAAGGUGCAAUUGCAUCACUACCAGAUGGACCUGCGUUGUAUUAGCUAGUUGGUGGGGUAACGGCUUACCAAGGCGACGAUACAUAGCCGACCUGAGAGGGGGAUCGGCCACACUGGGACUGAGACAAGGCCCAGACUCCUACGGGAGGCAGCAGUAGGGAAUCUUCGGCAAUGGACGGAAGUCUGACCGAGCAACGCCGCGUGAGUGAAGAAGGUUGUCGGAUCGUAAAGCUCUGUUGUAAGAGAAGAACGAGUGUGAGAGUGGAAAGUUCACACUGUGACGGUAUCUUACCAGAAAGGGACGGCUAACUACGUG
Molecule: ribosomal RNA, 495 nt
Filed under: uncultured bacterium
Lineage: Bacteria
Description: partial 16S ribosomal RNA
Rfam family: Bacterial small subunit ribosomal RNA
Source: RNAcentral